RNAcentral lists this ribosomal RNA (516 nucleotides) under uncultured bacterium. Its description in RNAcentral is "bacterial SSU rRNA". It matches the Rfam family "Bacterial small subunit ribosomal RNA", at positions 1 to 526 of the family's 1533-position model. The record is from RNAcentral.
ACUAGCAGUAAGAGUUUGAUCAUGGCUCAGGACAAACGCUGGCGGGGUGCGUGAGACAUGCAAGUCGAACGAGGAGCCUCCGAGCUUGCUUGGAGGUUUCCUAGUGGCGGACGGCUGAGUAACGCGUAGGUGACCUACCCGGAAGUGGGGAAUAACUGCCCGAAAGGCGGGCUAAUACCGCAUAACGCUCCCGGUGAGAUUCCGGGUAGUAAAAGCUUCGGCGCUACUGGACGGGUCUGCGGUCGAUUAGCUUGUUGGUGGGGUAAUGGCUCACCAAGGCGACGAUCGAUAGCUGGUCUGAGAGGAUGGUCAGCCACACGGGGACUGAGACACGGCCCCGACUCCUACGGGAGGCAGCAGCUAAGAAUCUUGCGCAAUGGGCGAAAGCCUGACGCAGCAACGCCGCGUGGGGGAGGAAGGCCUUCGGGUUGUAAACCCCUUUUGCGAGGGAAGAAGUUCUGACGGUACCUCGCGAAUAAGCCACGGCUAACUACGUGCCAGCCGCCGCGGUAAUAC